GGUCAGCUUGACUCAGUGUCUGUUGGAGGGCUCUUUCAGUGUCACUAGCCAGCGCUGCAGUAACGUUACUGAUCUCCCUUUCAGCAUCAGUUUAUGAAAUGGACUGUUUUGUCCUUGAUUUUAACACAAUAGUGUCCCCUCUUUUGUCCCCAAAGUCUCCGUCUUUCACGGCCUCUACCGUUGUAUCUGUGUUGCUCAGCCGAGCCAACCGACAUCGUGACGUCACAGGCUACUACUGCAACACGGCGGAGCUCUUGUCUUAACUUGGUUGAACGCUGCCCGUGCUCAGAUAAUCCGUCAUACCUUCCAGUGCACCUCUGUUAAACAGAUCCUUGAUAUGAUAGUUGUGUCACUUGCGUUUUGUUGUACAUGAUUGAUUCUGCGUAGCCACAGAACAUGACGUGACGUAUUAGUUGUGAGUUUGUUUUUAAGGUGACUUCAUGAACUUUUUCCUGCACAUUAUUUACUGUAGAUGUUGGAGUGCUUUCUUUGCUGUUGACUAAAGAACGACUGAAAUCUUUGUUAAACUGUUGAAAACAAGUCUAAAACCUAAAGAAGAAAGUUUUUGUUCUACCUGAAUGAGACAGUCUUUCAACUCUCUACCCAGAAACGUCUCCUAAAUGUGAUGCUGCGUUAGACUCAGACAGAGCCAAGGUUUGACUGAAGGAGCUGUCCUUGGUGCUGAACUCACAGCUCUCAUACACUGUGUAGUAUACUCGCUACCAGUCAUGGACACACAUAUAGCCCCCAGAAGGGUCUUACACUAGACAAAUUAUGGUAUAACUCAAUCCAUUACACUUGUUUGUUUUCCUGACAAGAUGUCAAAUCCCAGGACAAGCGAGUUAUUUCAGCCCAGCGUGGGAGGAGAUAGCAGCUGAAUGGAAUCCAUGUUUGGGUCUGACUCUGGGAUGUUUCACAGAGGGAAAGGGAUACCUACUUUUGUUCCAAACCUGGCAGACGGUCAACUCCCAUUAGUUUCCUUUCCCACCGUUGUCACGUCUUGUCCAGUCAACCUCUAUAGGUACAACAGGGCAGACAAUACAUUAAAAGCCUGGGCAAGAUAAAGGAAGACCAUAGUGACAACUCCCCAACUUUGUUUUCCACAGGAUCAGAACAAAGUGAAACAACUUGUGAAGUAGUUUAUGUGUGUGUGAGUUGCAGCCUAAAUGAUGGCGACAGAUAAAAGUAGCUUAAGAGGCAGUUUGUGGGAGAACAAGAAGGUACCGCCUGCAGAGAGGAACCAUUUAUAGUGGGCAAGAGCAGCAUGGGACCACAUUUCUGCACUUGUUUUUCUUGACUUGUUUUUGAAAAACACCCCCUUGUCUCAAUGAAGAAUACAAUUGCAGAAGAAGCCGCGUGUCCACUCUUGUUGACGAAUGCACAUUUAUGCACAGCGGAGGCUCUCACGCGCCCACGAACACAGCGAGAGGGGGGACGAUUUUUCGGAGACGUAGUCGCAGACGGAAGGGGGGGGGGCUCGGAAUGAUCCAUCAGCGGGAGUGGUUGGAGCGCACAUCAGGCGAGAGAAAUGACAACGGCGUCUCAGACAGAUGAAUCAGCCCAGUCGCUGUGAAAGGAGCGUGAAAGAGAUGUUCACAUUCAUCCAUCCAUCCUCGUCAGCAGCCGGCGGGGCCACCCGGCUGUCCCCCCUCCCCUCACAAACCUGACACAUUCACCCACACACACUUAUAUUCGCUCUGGAGAGACACUCACCCAGUCACACAUGCAUGCACUUAACAUCUACAAAUGUUCACACACCCUCAUGGGGGGGAGGGGAGUUAGCCACAUCUUGUUGACAUUUUCAUAGGCACUAGGAGUAAUUUAUGUAAGGUUAGCUUGCUCCCAGUGCACUGGGCCAGAACACAGUAAAAGCAAACAGAGGGAGAAAGAGAACAAAUUGCUUUUUUAAAUUGCUCAGACAAGGGUUGCUCUUUUUGCUCUAUUAGGACAUAGUGCAAACACUGCUACAAAGCAGGGGGGCAAACCACAGGAGCGUGACUAAAUCUAAUAGAAAUACCAUUUGCCAACGCGGGUACCAACGGGGCCGUUGGCAUCUGCAUGGAACUAGUUUGAUCUGGAUGGAAAACAUUAUGAACUGGCACAGCGCUAAGCUAAAUGGAGCUGGCAUUUACCUACAAAGCAGUCUAUUUUCAGCCAGCAAGGUGAGGAUAACUUUGUCUCAUGAGGGACAAAGCAGCGAAGCGUCUAAAAAUAUCAGGAGAAGCAAACAUGUUCCACUUUUUACAUAUUGCUGAUGCUGUAUUACUUUAAAGGGGACCUGUUAUGCUUGUUUUCAGGUGCAUACAUGUAUUUUGGGUUUCUAUUAGAACGCAUAUAAUGCUCAAAAAACACUUUAUUUUUCUUAGAGAUGCCAUUUUUUCUUUACCAAUAUCAAUUCUGAUACCUGAACUUGCAGUGUUGGCAGAUAAUGAGUACCGAUCCGAAACCAGCGUGACAAAAAGAAAUAUAGUUAUUAUUAUCAUUAUCAUUAUCAGCAGUGGUUAGCACUGUCGCCUCACAGCAAGAGGGUCGCAGCUUCAAACCCGGCUUGCGGCCCUUCGGUGUGGAGUUUGAAUGUUCUCCCCGUGUUAGCGUGGGUUUUCUCCGGGUGCACCGGUUUCCCCCCACAGUCCAAAGACAUGCAGGUUAGGUUAAUU
Molecule: long non-coding RNA, 2657 nt
Organism: Sebastes umbrosus (honeycomb rockfish)
Lineage: Eukaryota; Metazoa; Chordata; Actinopteri; Perciformes; Sebastidae
Exons: 2
Source: RefSeq, a predicted model, not a curated record